GGGGUGGUCGUCUAGAGUCUUCAAGAUAUAGACCUUCUGAGCCUGGGGCGUUGGAGCUCGAGGGUUCAAAUCCCCCCCACCCCACCA
This 87-nucleotide transfer RNA is filed under the name Candidatus Bathyarchaeota archaeon. RNAcentral's name for it is "tRNA-Arg". It matches the Rfam family "tRNA". From Rfam's summary of the family: Transfer RNA (tRNA) molecules are approximately 80 nucleotides in length. Their secondary structure includes four short double-helical elements and three loops (D, anti-codon, and T loops). Further hydrogen bonds mediate the characteristic L-shaped molecular structure. tRNAs have two regions of fundamental functional importance: the anti-codon, which is responsible for specific mRNA codon recognition, and the 3' end, to which the tRNAs corresponding amino acid is attached (by aminoacyl-tRNA synthetases). tRNAs cope with the degeneracy of the genetic code in two manners: having more than one tRNA (with a specific anti-codon) for a particular amino acid; and 'wobble' base-pairing, i.e. permitting non-standard base-pairing at the 3rd anti-codon position. The record is from RNAcentral. Lineage: Archaea; Thermoproteati; Candidatus Bathyarchaeota.